ACGGGUGAGUAACGCGUGGGAACCUGCCUUUUUCUGCGGGAUAACGGUUGGAAACGACCGCUAAUACCGCAUACGCCCUUCGGGGGAAAGGUCCGCCGGAGAAAGAGGGGCCCGCGUCUGAUUAGCUAGUUGGUAGGGUAAUGGCUUACCAAGGCGACGAUCAGUAGCUGGUCUGAGAGGAUGAUCAGUCACACUGGGACUGAGACACGGCCCAGACUCCUACGGGAGGCAGCAGUGGGGAAUAUUGGACAAUGGGGGCAACCCUGAUCCAGCAAUGCCGCGUGUGUGAUGAAGGCCUUAGGGUUGUAAAACACUUUCACUGGUGAAGAUGAUGACGGUAACCAGAGAAGAAGCCCCGGCUAACUUCGUGCCAGCCGCCGCGGUAAUA
This 388-nucleotide ribosomal RNA is filed under the name uncultured bacterium. RNAcentral's name for it is "bacterial SSU rRNA". It matches the Rfam family "Bacterial small subunit ribosomal RNA", at positions 102 to 525 of the family's 1533-position model. The record is from RNAcentral.